Molecule: ribosomal RNA, 196 nt
Filed under: uncultured Burkholderiales bacterium
Lineage: Bacteria; Pseudomonadati; Pseudomonadota; Betaproteobacteria; Burkholderiales
Description: partial 16S ribosomal RNA
Rfam family: Bacterial small subunit ribosomal RNA
Source: RNAcentral
UACGUAGGGUGCAAGCGUUAAUCGGAAUUACUGGGCGUAAAGCGUGCGCAGGCGGUUAUGCAAGACAGAGGUGAAAUCCCCGGGCUCAACCUGGGAACUGCCUUUGUGACUGCAUGGCUAGAGUACGGUAGAGGGGGAUGGAAUUCCGCGUGUAGCAGUGAAAUGCGUAGAUAUGCGGAGGAACACCGAUGGCGAA